Molecule: transfer RNA, 88 nt
Filed under: Actinomycetaceae bacterium
Lineage: Bacteria; Bacillati; Actinomycetota; Actinomycetes; Actinomycetales; Actinomycetaceae
Description: tRNA-Ser
Rfam family: tRNA
About the family: Transfer RNA (tRNA) molecules are approximately 80 nucleotides in length. Their secondary structure includes four short double-helical elements and three loops (D, anti-codon, and T loops).
Source: RNAcentral
GGAGCGGUGUCCGAGCGGCCGAAGGAGACGGUCUUGAAAACCGUUGUGCGGCAACGCACCGUGGGUUCGAAUCCCACCCGCUCCGCCA